RNAcentral lists this ribosomal RNA (1418 nucleotides) under Enterococcus faecalis. Its description in RNAcentral is "partial 23S ribosomal RNA". It matches the Rfam family "Bacterial large subunit ribosomal RNA", at positions 30 to 1450 of the family's 2925-position model. The record is from RNAcentral. Lineage: Bacteria; Bacillati; Bacillota; Bacilli; Lactobacillales; Enterococcaceae.
GCCUUGGCACUAGAAGCCGAUGAAGGACGUUACUAACGACGAUAUGCUUUGGGUAGCUGUAAGUAAGCGUUGAUCCAGAGAUUUCCGAAUGGGGGAACCCAACACAAGUUAUGUUGUGUUAUCGACAAGUGAAUUCAUAGCUUGUCAGAAGGCAGACCCGGAGAACUGAAACAUCUUAGUACCCGGAGGAAGAGAAAGAAAAUUCGAUUCCCUGAGUAGCGGCGAGCGAAACGGGAAGAGCCCAAACCAAUAAGCUUGCUUAUUGGGGUUGUAGGACACUCUAUACGGAGUUACAAAGGAAUAUAUUAAACGAAUCAUCUGGAAAGUUGAAUCAAAGAAGGUAAUAAUCCUGUAGUUGAAAAUAUAUUCUCUCUUGAGUGGAUCCUGAGUACGACGGAGCACGUGAAAUUCCGUCGGAAUCUGGGAGGACCAUCUCCUAAGGCUAAAUACUCUCUAGUGACCGAUAGUGAACCAGUACCGUGAGGGAAAGGUGAAAAGUACCCCGGAAGGGGAGUGAAAGAGAACUUGAAACCGUGUGCUUACAAGUAGUCAGAGCCCGUUAAUGGGUGAUGGCGUGCCUUUUGUAGAAUGAACCGGCGAGUUACGAUCUGAUGCAAGGUUAAGCAGAAAAUGUGGAGCCGUAGCGAAAGCGAGUCUGAAUAGGGCGUAUAGUAUUUGGUCGUAGACCCGAAACCAGGUGAUCUACCCAUGGUCAGGUUGAAGUUCAGGUAACACUGAAUGGAGGACCGAACCGACUUACGUUGAAAAGUGAGCGGAUGAACUGUGGGUAGCGGAGAAAUUCCAAUCGAACUUGGAGAUAGCUGGUUCUCUCCGAAAUAGCUUUAGGGCUAGCCUCAAGUGAUGAUUAUUGGAGGUAGAGCACUGUUUGGACGAGGGGCCCCUCUCGGGUUACCGAAUUCAGACAAACUCCGAAUGCCAAUUAAUUUAACUUGGGAGUCAGAACAUGGGUGAUAAGGUCCGUGUUCGAAAGGGAAACAGCCCAGACCACCAGCUAAGGUCCCAAAAUAUAUGUUAAGUGGAAAAGGAUGUGGCGUUGCCCAGACAACUAGGAUGUUGGCUUAGAAGCAGCCAUCAUUUAAAGAGUGCGUAAUAGCUCACUAGUCGAGUGACACUGCGCCGAAAAUGUACCGGGGCUAAACAUAUUACCGAAGCUGUGGAUUGUCCUUUGGACAAUGGUAGGAGAGCGUUCUAAGGGCGUUGAAGCAUGAUCGCAAGGACAUGUGGAGCGCUUAGAAGUGAGAAUGCCGGUGUGAGUAGCGAAAGACGGGUGAGAAUCCCGUCCACCGAUUGACUAAGGUUUCCAGAGGAAGGCUCGUCCGCUCUGGGUUAGUCGGGUCCUAAGCUGAGGCCGACAGGCGUAGGCGAUGGAUAACAGGUUGAUAUUCCUGUACCACCUA